AAUGUGGUUUUUUUGCAGACACACAUUUUAAAGCAUCCCAGAAGAAUGCUGUAAGAUGCAAUCUGGAACACAUGCUCAGAAUGCAAACAGUUAAUGCAUAAAUUUUCAGUUUGUACAACUGCAGCUCUAAAAGGGGGACUUGUUUAUUCAGAGCUCUGCAGAGAGAAUGGUACAGCACCCAGGGGACAGACAAUGCCAGGCACAAAACCCUGGUGCCUCGACAUGUAAAAGGAUGUUUUUCUGUGUGCUACAAAUCCCACUUGAAAAUAUAAUUAGAAGGAGAAAAUGGCAAACUAUUGCAUUAACUGUAAUUGAACAAAAGACCAGCAAGGCGUGUGGGAGGCUGCAGGAGCCCGUGGGAGUUUCAGGAUGCAGGAGAUCCAGCGAGUGACGUCUCCUGGGCACUCUCAUUUUCUUUAUGUUGUCCCUCACCACUAUUGUUGACUGGUGAUCUGACUUGUAAUUAAUAGAAAGGCUAGCAAUAACAAGCUAAAAUACAGAGCCACAGCCUAACCUCAUCAGAAACACGGUGGUUAAUCUGAUUAAGAGCAGGACUCCAAAAAGGUGACUUAGAACCAGGGUAUCAUUCCAUGUCAGGCAGGAAACUGCCCUCCUUUCUGCCACAACAGACCUGAUAUACUCACUAUCUUUUAAUGAGCUCCGCUGAUUUAUUCAGUUCGGCUCCACUCCCUCCCCCACUUCUCUACUGUGCAGGAUGUAGAUUAAUUCAAUGCUUAAUUGUUUAGUAAAUUCAAUUUUCCACAUUCUAUUCUGCAUAGCUUUAGCUAAGGUUCUUAAAUCUUCAGCAGUGAGCCCUGAGCUCAGUGUUUGUGGUCUGUGCCCACCUUUUUCAUUACCGUUUUUCUUCAUCCACCACUUAAUUCACCAUGAAAAGAUUUUCCUUGCUGGAAAUUCUGAUUCCGCUAUGAUCUGUGAGGCAUUCCGAUUCAUUGCAUUUUCAUUGUGUUGGGUCUUAGAUGCGGGCUCCUCUUUUCUCACAGCUAUGGCCACAUUAUACAGGCAUUCAUGCAAGAAGUGUUGGAUUCCACCUCAGUUUAUCCAAAUUUCGUGCAACCUAUAUGUUUAAAUUGGUGUGUGCGCCAAAAGGUGCCCAUAAUUUCCAGCUAAUAUCAUUCUUCUGAGAGCCUUCCUCUUCCAGGAGGCCUGUGAAUACUGAGCGCAGCACCUUGCGAUGAAGUCUAACUUUUGUGGCCCUUCCUUGAAUUAGCAUCGUGUAUUAGCAUUUCAAGAAUGGUGUAGUCACAUGAAACUGAGUAUCAGAAGAAAUCCACAGGGUUACCAAAACAGAACGAGAAUUGUGCUUACUUCAGUUCAUUAAGCAAGAUUAAAGUCCAAGUGCCAGAAUCAGCUCAUGAAUGCUUCCAGUAUAAAUAUGUAAGAGAGCCCUAAUCAGAAAUAACUCCCCCAAAAGCCAUCUACCAGGGAGUUUUAGUUUUAACACAUGUCUCUGACUAUAUGUGGUCUCACCAAACAGCAUCAUCAUUUUGGAAUUAAAAUAUGUGCAUGUGAUUAAGUAUAUAAAUCUGUGAAGUUGUGAGUUGCUUGAGGCCACUUGGAAAGUAAGGCUGACAGAAUAAAAUCAACGGUGUGUUCAGUUAGACGCACAGCGAAUCUUAGUCAUGACCCUAAAUUAAGUCUCAAAGAAGCUUCUUGCCUUCAGUGUCUAUAAUUUCAGAAUGAGUAAUGGCUAUAUUGUCAUCUGUGAGAAAGCCACUAAGACAAAGGCCCUAACCUGAAGUCCAAUUACCACCUAUGGAAUAUGUCAGGGGCAGAGGGGCAUCUGUUCCGUUAAUUCAUAUGUUUAUGUACAUACUUAUUUGCAUAUUUUUCCUACAGGGUUGGGGGGAUGUCUGUAACUGUCCAUCAGAUCUCAAGGGAGCAUGUGACUCUAAAAGUAUAUGAAUCAUUAGUAUAGGAGAUACUUACAGGCCUAGACACAAAGCUAAAGAGAAGACUUCUGACGUCACUGAAUCUCCACGUGCAGGAUGGCACAGUGGUAUCCUCCAAACAGGGCUUGAGUGUCAUAGGUGGGAAGAGGCAGUUAAACUGGCCCUCUAGCAGAAGUUCCUCUCCGUUAAUGUGCAAAUAUUAUAUGUUGCAUAUAAAAUAACCCCAUUUGUGUUUCUAAUUCUAGGACCUCAAAAAGAGCAAUUUGAAAUAUUUGAAGCAAGCAAUUGUUUUCACCAUCUUCUCUUGCUGUAGCAGCUUAAAGGUUUCUGGUUUUUGUUUGUUUGCUGUUGUUUUGUUUUUCUUUUACUUCUUAAGAAUGAAGAAAAAAACUCAUUUGGUUUGUUUUCUUUUCAGUGUUUUAGUUCUGGUACUUCCUAUUAAGAGAGGGUUGUGCAGGCAUCUGGUAGUGGGCAGAUAUGACCUCUCCUGACUGUAGGCCAUUUCAGGACAAGGACAGUAACACAAUCUGCCCAAACUGCUCUUUUAAGACCUUGGAACAACCCACAGCUAAAGCUGAGGGAACUAGCUAGAAUCAUUGUUUCUGACUUUCCCAGCCCUAUCUCAACAGACUGCGCAUUAAAACACAUUGGCUCUUUCCAUCUCCGCCUUAGACUCUGAGAUAUUGUGAGGCCUCUUCCUACCUUGGACAUUAUCCUUGGACAACUCCUUUCACUAGUGUAAAGUGAAUUAGCACAGAUAUAGACUAGGCUUGUAUCUAUGGAUUUCUUCUCUGCUCUUCUGACUUACAUGAACAACAGUGUGAUCGACCACCUCUGUGUGAAGAUGCCUGCUUCACUCAACAAGUCCAAGGCUAUAACCUCUUUCCCCAAAGCCUCCUUCCUAUUCAUUAUUUUGCUUCUUUGUUUAAGGACAGUCUCACUGGAUGGUCUGGAGCUCAUUGUGUAGACCAUGAUGACCUCAAGCUUACAGCAAUUCUCCUGUCUCCACCUCCUGAGUGCUAACAUUGCAGGUAUGCGGCAGCUUGGUUUAUUCUGUUUUAUUCUCCAUCCUAAUUCAUAUCAUACCAUCCUCCAUGGUAAAACCUCAACAACCAUCUGUGCCCCUCCCCCUCCCCCUCUUUCCAUAAUUAUGAGAGUCAUCAUACUUUAUCCACUUUUAUCACUAAGUAAUUGUCACACAAAUCUCCCCAGCUUAGGAAGAACUGGGUUUCACUAAAGCUUGAGCCCCAUGAAGGCAGGAAUGGUUCUGUUUUUCUCGCCAUUAGGUUCUGAGUAUCAAGCAUAGCCCUGUGAUGGUGCUCAUGAAACGAUGCGGAAUGAACUGCUCCCUACUGCCUAUGGAGUACAGUCUGAGUUCAUUAGCCUGAUUCACGAAGCCUGCAGGGCCUCUCUGGGGGCCAGUCUUGUCCUUGUUGCUAUAUUCUAGCAAACCCUGCCACAUGUGAUCACUCCAAGCCUAAUCCCUUCCCCCUCUGUCCCUGACGGCCUGCCCUGCCCUGUAAGACCCAGCCACUAGUUUUCCCUUAGUAGUUACGCCUUCUCUGAUACAUCUAUGCUGUCCCUGGAUGAAGCUCUUCCCUCUAGAGCACUCAAACAGCCUCAUCUCACCUGGCACACUUCCUACCUUGUUGCUUUGUGGUAGUCUGCUGUGCCCAUCUACAAGUCUCUGCAAUGAAUACUUCAGAACAUGUCUUAUUCAUCUUUUGUUUCCCAGCCUAGGAGAUGUUCUUAUGAUAACACACACAAAUGAUUUUAAAGUAGCUUCUGCAUGUGUCUGUCUGUCUGUCUGUCUCUCUCUCUCUCUCUUUGUGAGCACUUGAGAGCAACUGCCCAUAGAGGUGUUAGAUUCCCUGGAGCUGGAGUUACAGACAAUUGUGAGCUACACAACACGAAUUCUGGAAACCAAACUCUGGUCCUCUGCAAAAGCACUACAUUUAACUUUUGAGCCAUCUCUCCAGCCCCACAAAUAUGUUUUUGAGCAAAUGAAUAGAUUAAUAAAUAGACAUGGAUCUCUACCUGACCUCACACCUGAUAUUGUGAGUGUUUAUGUUAAAUAUUACAAGACAACCACAGAUAUUUGAAGAAUCUAAAUAUGUCUCAAAUACUUAUAUAUACUGUAAAAUAUAUUAAUAUCUAGUUGUAGCAUACCACAGAAAGAGAAGGAAGGAAGGAAGGAAGGAUACAGAAUUAGACAAAUCAGAAAACCUUGGUGAACCAUUUACAUAGUUUGAGACAAGUCACAAUUUCUCUUACCUUAACGACUUUAUAUGUAAAACUGAAUUUUACAAAAUGCCCCCCCCCUGGAACAAUUGAAAGGAAGAAAGGUGCAAGGAGGAGGGUCAACGAAGGACAAGGGAGGGAAUGGAGAGUAAAUAUGAGUACGAUGGCAUAUAUGUAUGAAAAAUUUUUUUUAAAAAAUCUCAAAAGAAAACCUUAAACCUCUGCACCAUGCAGAUAUAGUAUAGACACGCUUCAAGGAUGCAGGAAGUACUCACUAAGUGACAGCACUACAGAUCUAACAGGAAAGUUAGAGACAUCUACACACAGGUGUAUCCCUCCACUCCCACCCCUGUUAACCCAACACAAGCAAGAGUCAUCUGGGAAGACUCCUGUAUGGAGCAUUUUCUUAAUUAAUGACAGAUGUGAGAGAGCCAAGUCAAUUGUGGAGAGCAAUGCACCUGAGGAGGUGGUCCUAAGAGUUUAUAGGAAACCAAGAUGAGCAAACCAUAAAGCAAGCCAUCCAGCAAGCAGUGUUUCUCCACGAUCUCUGCUUCUGUUCCUGUUUCCAGUUUCCUGCCUUGAGUUUCUGGCUUGGCUUCCUCUGAUGAUGCCCUGUGUCAUGCAACUGUAAACUUUAUAAACCCUUUCCUCCUCCAUGUUGCUUUUGGUCAUGAUAUUUAUCAAGCAACAGAGAAACAAACUGAGCUAGGCCAUCUCCCAGCUGUUCUGUGCCCAGAGAACGCAAAUGGAUCUUCCUUUCACCUCAGAAUAACAUUAUUUCACAGUGGUAUGCUUGUUCCCACCCUAUCAAGUUUAAUUUGAUAUCUAAUGUUAUAAAUUACUUUAUAGUAUUCAAAAUAAUGUGAUGUUUCCACUUGUAUCAGAAUGAUGUUAAAAUCCUCUUUUCUAAACUAAAAUUAAAUCUUUUCUACUGAAAAACAAUAGAGACAACUAUUCCCUCCUGGUCUUUCUCAAAAAUGGUAGAGAAAUGAGUCAUGAUAUUGAUAGAGAAGAGGUCUUCUGGCUGCUAUGGAAAGACAAUGGAGCAAGUCGGGUUCAAAGUUGAAGGGUCAUUUACACCCGUGAGCAGGUACUCACUGGGGACAGACAUGUGCUCUCAAACCACCAGGGCUCUCUAACAAAGAAUCUCUAAUGACUUGGAAGAACUGACACCUUUAAAUUCUGUCAAAGGGCAGAGACUGAGACUUCCCGAUCCAGAGAAUCCUGAUCCACAUAACACACGUACUCACGUACUUGAUAGUCAUAUGCACAUCAGAUUCCCAUGCCUACACAUGCCAUGCUCACCUGCACACACAUAUCACACUUAGCCAUUAUCAUAGAGGAUGGAGUUGCCAAGUGGCACCACCCCACCACACCAGGAGAGCCAGAGCUAAUUAAUUAACCCCAGCUCUCUACUUUCUGCCUCCAAAGUGUCUUUCCUAAAUCUUCACAAGCACAUGGUAUCCGCCAAUAUAUUUCUUGAGAAACCCUGUAACCAAAACUACCAUUCAAGGAAAAAGGCCAGAAAGAAGCAAAUACCAAGAAACUGGAAGGAAGGAGGAGCCAAGCAAGUCACUUCAGUGGGAAACAAAAUCCUAUUUACCAGUGUGGACUUGAAACAGGGGAAUGAAGGAUGUGGAGAUGCUCCUAGGUGUGAGGAUAGACUGGCACUCCCACUGCUAUCCCUGCAGGCCCCAUUUGCAUCUGCUUUAGAGCCAAAACUCACUGUCAAUCACUAAGUCCAUUGAGCCACUAUUUAUUAGACACUUGCAUUUUGUAGAGAUGAGGGAGGAAUGUUCUUCUAAGUCUACAUCUUCUCAACUUAAAAUAUAGAUAAUUAAGAAAAAAAAACAUAAAAUUCUUUAUAGGCAUUUAAAAAGAUUCCUGGAACUCAUUAAACAAAACUCGGCUAACCAAAGGAAGUUUGGGCUGUCAGUAUGCUUUGUUUUGUUUUGUUUUGUUUUGUUUUGUUUUGUUUUGUGUUUGUUUGCUUGUUUUGAUGGAGUAAAUCUGUGUCUUCCCCUUUUAUGCUUUUAGUUGUUUUUCAAUGUCAGAAGCAUUCAAAACAUUAAUACUUUGAUAUACACAAAAGCUGUGGAGUGAAGGUCCACAUUAAAGUGUUUUAGGGAGGGGCUGGAGAGAUGGCCCUACAGUUAAGAGCACUGAUGUCUUUUCCAGAUGACCUGGCUUGAUUCCCAGCACCCAUAUAGAGGGUCACAACCAUGUAUAGCUCCAGGUGCAGGGCAUCUGAUAUCCUCUUCUAACCUCUGCAGAUCUGUAUGCAUGUGGUACACAAACAAGCAUACACAACAAAACACCAACGCACUUAAAAAUAAUGAUAAAGCUUAAACUAUUAGAACAGUCUUCAGAAAUGAUUUAAACAUUAAACAGGGCACUUGAGAUUAAACAUUUCCAGGCCCACAUCUCCUGCUGAAGGAUAACAAAGAGUGGGAAACAAUUGCUGGUGACAAAGAGUGGGAAACAAUUGCUGGUGACAGAAGGUUUGCUUUAUCUUACUUUACUCCAUUUCGCUUUAUUUGUGUGUGUGUGUGUGUGUGUGUGUGUGUGUGUGUGUGUGUGUGUGUGUGGUGCAUAUGCCUAUUUAUCUACUUGUGCAACACACAACUACAAUGCCCCCAGAGGUCAAAAGAGAGCAUUGCAACCCCUGGAGUUGGCUUUAGUGGCAGAUGUAAGCAGGGGUGUGGGUCAUGUGGGUGGCAAGUGUUCUUACCCAUCAACUGCUGGCUUUUUAAAACAGUGUCUCCUGGGCACGCUCAAUCCUACUGUCUUUACCAACUCAUUGGUCUCUUCUCAGUUUCCUCUCUUCCUUUACCUUGCUCUCUUACCUUCUUCAAAUCUGUAGGUCUGAACAGUUCUUUGUUUUUGAGUCAAGGUCCUUCACUGUACAGGAACUUACUAUGUAGACCAGACUACUCACUCUUGACCUCAUAGAGAUACACCUGCUGAGUGCUGAGAUCAAAGGUCUUUGUCACCAUGCAUGGCUAGGAUCUUACUGUGUUCCUAUUUAAGACUGCAAUAAAAUGGGCUUUUACUUCACUACUAGAGGCCCAAGGGUUAAUUUUGGAGACUAGGGCAGAUGGUAAAUCUGUGGUAAGGCAAUGGAAGUCCAGCAUCCUCUCUCAGGGUCUGUGGCUGUCACCAAGUGAUCACACUUCCUCUGCUCGCAGUCUAGACACAUAUCUGGUUGGCUAUCUAGUCAUUCAUUCCUUAGGCGCAACACCCGCUACCUUGGUGCUAGCUGGUAUCUUCAUACAUAAUACAAGUGUGAAACCUUGAUGACUAAGCAACUUUAUAUGCAUGCAUUUACAUUGUGUAUAUAUUAUUUGUUAUUGUAUGUAUGACGAUAUGUAGCCAAAGCAGGUAAUUUGUGGAAAUAAAGACAGCAUCUGUUGAAUUGAAUUCUAUAUUUCUUAGUUCACAUAUACCACAAAUAAGUUCUGCAAAUGAUAGUUUUUCCAAAUACUGAAUCUCCUAUCUCUGUGUAGUGAGGCAUAUAGAGGAGGAAGAAUUUUUGUGCUUUUUUUUUUUUUUUAAACCUUUGGUGAAAAUUCUCCAAGGAGUUAUUUCAUCUAUAAAUAAAAAGUUUUCUGUCAGGUGACUGCAUGAGUUCCAAGAAUCAUCGAAGCCCAGAUGCACAAAGGAACAUGUGUGCACACACCUAUGCACACAUGACAGCAUCUAUCUAUCAUGUGCAUAAGCAUAAGGUAAAAAGUAUCGAGUGAUUUUAAAUGUUAUAAAUUAUAUCCCAAUGGAAUUUAAAGCAGCUUGGCCAUCAUGCAAGACAUUUAAGUCUACUAGCUCUUAUAUAUGUCACCUAGUCUCACACAAAUGUCCAUGCUUCAUUCUCUUCUCAGUACCUGGGAUCUACUACCGUGGCAUGUAGGAGGGACAGUGAGGAGGAAGCUCAGAUCCAGUAUCUAUUCCAAUGCUUCUUAAAACCCUCCUUUCCCACAGCUGGCAUCUUUUAGGUCUCUAGUCCAAAAUUCUCGGGACGAUGAAUGCACAUGGUUGAGAAUUUAAAGAUGAACAAUGCAAAGCCAAGAUGUGUAAAUGUAAAAGAACACCCAGAAUGUUUCAAAAGCAUUCCUGAUGAAUCCAGGCAGCACUGACAGGCUCUCUGCAGCUUUUCUAUUUUGAGAAUCAGCAUUAACAUCAUUCCAGAAAGACCUCCCUGUGGCCCCAGAUGAUAACAGGUUUCCAAAUGGGGUACAUUCAACAGGUUACAAGACAAACGAAUACUCAUGGCUCAAGGGCAGUUGACAAGUAUUGACAACCAGUUUUACCCAAAUCUCAAAAGUGGCAUUAGGAAUAGAUAAGUAAUUUACAGAAGGUUCAAGUUCACCAAAUGUUCAAAUUCUACUAAGCAGGCUGUUGGAGUGGGACCACAAGCAGUGAACAGAAGAGAAAAGAAAGCCUGAUUCCAGAAAGUCUCCUAGUGAGUGUGUCUAUGCCAGGGACAAUGGACUGUGUCUGUAGUCCCAGCAACAGGGAAAGCUGAGCCCAGUAGUUCAAAGCCAGCAUGGGCAACAUACUGACAAGCUAUCUCAAAAAUACAUAGAUAGAUAGAUAGAUAGAUAGAUAGAUAAAUAGAUAGAUAGAUCUUUCCUUUUCUUUGCUGCUUUGGAAAUCAUACCUUGGAAUGUUAGUUCACAUCAUUUAAUCUUUUAGUGAAACAACAAAUGAAUCCCUAAUCCAACCAGCACCACUCUAUUUGCAAAUAUUUAUUUCUAAAUACUUCAAGCCACACUCUGUAUCUGAUAGCUUUCUACUGAAAUUUGUGUUGUCUUUAUAUCGUUUCCAUUCAGCAGCAGGAAAGAUUCUAUAACUAAAUGCUAACACACAGUGUUAUAAAGUCCCUUGUAUGAGACUGUUUGUUGUGUGCCAGUGUUUUAUUAUCUAUUUGAAAUGAUGGUAGUCCUUCAAAGAAAUUAAGAUAAACUCAAAGGUGUCUUAUACGAAACAACCACAAACCACAAACUUCCUAAGCAAGCAUUCUACCAGCAAGAGCACCCAAUGAUGCUUAAAAUAUUGCAUCCUUAGCACACGUGAUAAACAAAUGCAUGAACACAGCACACUCACUAAGCACAGGAUUCACCCAGUACUGUCAUCCGGGUUGCAUCAUAAGAGUGAGUUUUCAGUGGUUUGCUUCUCUCUCUCUCUCUCUCUCUCUCUCUCUCUCUCUCUCUCUCUCUCUCUCUCUCUCUGCCUGUUUCUCUAUAUGCCACCCCCCUUCUCUCUCUGUUUCUAUCUCUAUUUGUCUCAAGAGUCUCACUACGUAGCUCGAGCUGGCCUAUCAUUCUGUAGAUCAGGCUGACCUCAAGCUCACAGAGCUCUGCCAGCCUCUGCCUCCCAUUUCUGGUGUGCAUCACUGUACCCAGCUGCUUUGAUACAUUUUGUUCUGUUUUGUUUUAUUUUGUUUUGUGUUGUGUUGUGUUUUGCAAUGGGUUCUUGUUUGUGUUUUGUUUGGUUUGGUUUUGACAGCAUCUUAUUGGCCUCAAACUCCCAGUCCUCUUGCCUCAUGUUGUAUUGAGUGCAGAGAUUACAGGAGUGUGGCACGCUCAGUCUCUUUUUAUUCCAUGUUUGUUAGCAGAAUAAUAGUGACCUACUUAAAAGUAACAAUUAUAUUUUUCUUGAAGCUCUAUAAUUAUAAAAUUUUCUAUAAAACAAUACCUGUGUCAAACAGUACCCAUCUCUUUUUGUCAAGUCAAUUGAUGUUUUUGAAAGAUGAACAGAGUGUAAUUAAAAAGAAAGCACAUUGUUUAAUGGAGUGCUUGGGGCACUGUUUGACACAGUUUUCGUGGUACUCCUUGGUCCUCAUUAGUUCUCAUGGCGAGUGGGUGAGUGGAGUUUGCCCAUUCUCUAUUUCAGAAACCGUGGGAGAAGCUCACCAAGGUGAAGAGACAUCACCUCUCAACCAAAGUCCACAUUCAAAUUUGUGUGCUUUGUCCUGAGACUGCAUUUGGGGUGGGGGUAGGGAGGGAGAGUUCCAAGUGUCCAAGAGAGUGUAAAAGUUAGCAGACUUAAUUGCUUUUUCUCUAGUGUUUCCAAAGUUUUACCUGGUCUACUUUUAUACUUCCAUGCAAGAAAUAAUCCCAAUCUUGAUCCAAGGAAGAAAAAGCUAGCUACUUUACAGUCUUGUUUUCCCCUCCCAUCUUGGAAACUUUCACUUAACAUUGAUGCUCAUGACGGUUAUAAUAAAAUCUCGUCUAACUUCCUUACAGAUUUGCUGGAGCAUUUCAACCAAGCUUGAUUCUGUUGUCUCCAAGAAUUUCCAAAUCUUUAAGCUUCCUGACAGUGUUAAAUUUGGAGAUGGGGGAGGAGAUCUAUUCACCAUUUUCCAUGAUUUAUGUCAGAUAUGGUCUUCAGAGAGACUCUUCUCAAGGCUGCCUGAAGUUGGACUUGAGACUCUGUUCUCAAGAUGCCCAACUUCUCUAUAUUCAAGCACUUAGCUUAGAGGUCAAUGAAACUCGCAUCUCAAGAUGCCCAACUUCGCUAUAUUCAAGCACUUAGCUUAGAGGUCAAUGCAAAAGAGUGUGGGUUCCAGGGCAGGGUGUCAACCCUGGAGGUCCCUUGUUAAAACUUUCUAGUCAUGGAGGGCUGGAGAGAUUGCUCAGUAGUUAAAAGCACUGGCUGCUCUUCCAGAGGACCAGGGUUCAAUUCCUAGCACCCACAUGGUAGCUCACAGCUGUCUGUAACUCCUGUUUCAGGGGAUCUCACAGCCUCACACAGACAUACAUGCAGCCCAAACACCAAUUUAUAUAAAACAAAAAUAAGUAAAUAAAUAAAUCUUGUAGUCACUUAGAAAGCCAGGCUUCAGUCAUAUCCUGGGCUGACAAGACCUUGGACUUUUUCUCACUGUCUAAAGUAUGUAAGUAUCAGGUAAAUGGCAAGGAGGGAGAGCUAUAUAAUUGGCACUCAUUGUUAGGGUGGCAAGCAAACCUUCAGAGAGCCCCAAUGGUGGAGUAAAGAACCAUGUUCCUAAUGGGAAGGGCAGAGGAACUUGGAAAAAUCAAAGUGAGCUGCUGCCAAGCCCCAAUUCCAGAUCUAAAUGUUUAUAAUAAACUCACUCAGAUGCAGACUGUACCUGGACUGGAAUAAUUAUUAGAAUAAAAAUAUUUGAUCAUCAAUAAAUCACUUGAUGAGCAUAGAACAUCGAUCAUUAGUAGACCAGCACCUUUUCGAACAACCAGCUACAGGACAGGACUUUAUAUGUGUCUUGACCAUGCUAUUAUUGAACACAACUUGUAAAAAUCCUCUGAUGAGGCAAAUCCAUAGGCCAAGUCAUCACAUAAACAGCAGCUGGGAAGACUUCAUGAACAGUAUUUCUCAGAAGUUUUCAGCAUGGGCUAGGGGCAGAGAACACACUGAAAGAAAGGAAGCUUGCUGGGUCUAUUCCUCAAUUGCUUUCUUUUACAAAUUAAUUUAUGGGUAAGUACAGUUCAAAAUGUAAAGCUCCUAAUUUUUCUUUAUUAGAAACUAUGACCAAGAAAAAUCACAAUAACUAAAAUGAAGAUGGCCACCCUGUGUGAAGGCAUAUAUAUACCUUUAACCUCAGCAUCCAAAAAGCAAAGGCAGGUGGGCCUCUUUGAACAAGACUGAGGCCAAGCAGGUCUAUUUCUGUGGUUCUUAACCUGUGGGUUGCAACCCCUUUGGAGGUCACAUAUCAAAUAUCCUGCAUAUCAGAUAUUUAUAUUACUAUUCAUAACAGCAAAAAUUACAGUUACAAAGUAGCAAUACAAAUAAUUUUAUGGAUGGGGGUCCUUAUAACAUGGGGGAAUUAUUAAAGGGCACCAGCAUUAGGAAGGUGGAGAACCACUGGUAUAUAUUUUAAGCUAAAGGUCAGUCAGGGCUGUAUAGUAAGACUCUGACCCCAAACCAACCAAACAACAGCAACAAAACCGAAGCUGAUCUCAUGGAAAGAAAUGAACGACCCUGUAAAAGAGGACAAUAUGCAUUCACUAAGAGCAACCCCUAUUACCCACUUAAGGCGAAAUGCCACCCUUGCCUUAUGAGGAAAACUUUAUACUUUUGGUAGAAUCAUAGGGUAAUUCCUUUAAACCAGGCAAACAAUAGAAUAUGAAUAAGUGACCCAUCUACUGACAUGCUCAAGAGUGAAUGGCAAGGUGGCUACUCAGAAGACUCAGGAGUGACAAUCUUAAAUCAAGGUACUACUCAAUGACCAGUUACCCCAAAUCUCUAUUCUAAACUUCUCUUCAGCGAGGGACUAAAGACAAUUCCAUAAGUGACAUAGCUCAUAACGUUUACACCAUUUGAUGCUAUUUUUAGUUUCAUCUCUCCAUUGCUGGUAUUUGUGAUUAAUAAAGAUUUAAGAUAACAUGUCUGAGUUUUAUCCUAUGGAGAGCACUGGGGUUUUUUUGUUUGUUUGUUUUAGCUUCAUGGAGAGUAAUUUGAACACUUCAAUAAGCAGAAGGAAGGCUACCUUUAAAAGCCAUCCAAGGGAGCUCAUGGGUUACUUUGCCUUGUCCUUACAUUGUAGAAAUCAUUAGCCCCCUCCCAGGUGGAUCUCUCUUCUGAGGCCUGGCAGACAAACACUUCAUUUCAUGUAAAUAGUGCAAGUAUGCCUUAGAAUAUCAGACAUUGUACACCAUUCAGUUUGGAAUUAACUUUUCAAACCACUAAGGAAUAACUUCUGAAUAACAGAAAACACUACAGGUCGCAGCUAAUUAUAGCUUACCUAUCAAAUUAAGUUAAUGUUAGAGAACACAUCCAACAGCUGUGGAGUUUUAAGAGGUAUUUUAUUGUUAAGGAAGUGCAUGCUCUCCCAUUUCUGAAUCUUUUAAGAGAAGAGAAGCAUUCUGUAAGUUGAGAUGACAUAAGAAAACAGAGUUUACAUCAAACUGCUCCGUCCUUUGUCCCUUGACAGCUGUGUCAAUUUCUCCAUAGAUUUCAUUUUCCAGAGUUUCAUAAUAGUCAUAAAAAAAAACACACUUCACUUUAAAGUGUUUCUGUGGGUCAUAAUGGGAAUGUAAAUUCAGAAUACAAUGCCAAUCAUGGAGAUAUGGGACCAAAUCUGGACCAUUAAUUAAGAAUACAGUCACCAAAACUAGCCAUCUGGGUACAAGAGGAAGGAAGAAGGCUGGUAUACUAAUCUGUUCACCCAGGAGUGGCAGCCCCAGAGGAGGUGACCAAGACUGAGAGUGUGUGGCUUUUCACCUAACUAUAAAGCAAAUGCUAGCAGGGUUCCAUGGCUUUAGCCUCUGUCUAUUCUUAUUCUAAAUGGACAGUGAACGUCUUCCCCGGAGAUAAUCCCAUGUGUGGCUAACAAACCCCAAGGCAGUGCAGGUUCAAAUCUCAGACAGAUAAGUUUUUCAAAACAAGGAAAAACCAAAGUGAUCCAGAAGAGAAAUCACUGCAGCUCUUCCUCACUACACCAUUCCCCAGCCAGGCAUCUCGGGCAGCAGUGUGAGGAGAGAAAGCCUGCAGGACUGAGCGCCCAUAAGCCACAGUGCCCUCAAAGUCACCUUGUGCUGCCCAGCUCUGAUGCAAGAGUUGCCAUACAUCGAUUUUAGGGUGAUGCCAAGAUCACUGAAAAUGUCACUGUCAUGAAUUCUAAAUGACUCAGGAUACCCUCUGCUUAAACCAUUUGUAAAGCAGGAGGCUGUGUGCUGUGUGGAAUGGAAAACAGCCCAACUCUAAAGUUUGAUUAAUCUUAUUAAACUAUAAAAACAUCGUGGUUGUCUUUAAAGUUAUACUUUGCGCACAUACACACUGUGACAGUCCCUGGCAUCUGUAGAAGAACAGGCUAUCACUAGGAUUUUCAAAGAGUUGAAAAUCCUAAAUUUUCACUGCACAGACAAGUCCCUCACUUGAACAUAAAUCUAUGAACCGUGGGUCCUGAAGUGCCAAAGAAUUGAUAGUUGAAACAUAUUUCUGGAAAUUAUAAAUAAUACAAAAUUUAUUUUUAAGUUAUUUAUUCUCUUAGUUUAUGUCUAUAAAUGGUUGCAUAUGUCAUGCAAAGAACACAAAGGCCCUGUUUCAUAGCUUCAGAAAAUCCUAUGACCUAAUUCUGGCUAUAAUUUGUAUUUGACUAUGUCUACUUAUGCUAACAAUAAACAACAGGAAUCUAACUGAAUACGUCUAGAUAUAAGUCGUUUUUCACAGGGGAAUAUACACUUUAUAGUGUGCUUUAGUCAAUUUUAGGAACUCUGAAACAAGUGAAAAACAUAAUUUCACAACAUUCGUACAAUCAUAUUUUCUUUUAAUGAGAGUGUAUUUUCUAGAUGAAGAGAAGCUGUCUGAGUCAGCCCAGUGAAGUAUUACCAACUGCAUUAAUUCUGUGCACUUGGGUGUAUUAAACUGAUUGAAAUUAGAUUCUAGUGACAAAUAUUUAAACAAAUGUAUUCUCAGUUAUUUUACAAAGUAUACUUUAUGCCAUUUAUUUAAAAUGUCACAUUUGUAAGUGUGGAAAACAUGUAGCAAUUGCUCCAUACAGGUAUAUUUCCUAGAGAGGCUGCUUAAGAGUUUACAAAGAUGCUCUCAUUUCCAUAAUUUUGAAAGCACAGCAUGUUAAUCUGAGCAUAUGGGAUAGAUGGUCAUUUAUCUUGUAUUUUUCAUAAAGGUCCAUUCUCUUUCAUUUCUGCAGAUUUUUUUUUUUGGUUGGUUGGUUGAUUGGUUGGUUUUCAGAAAUAGGAUUUCUCUGUGUAGCCCUGGCUAUCCUGGCACUUUCUCUGUAGACCAGGCUGGCCUCAAACUCAGAGAUCUGCCUGUCUCUGCCUUUCUAGUGAACUGAAGGCAUGUUCAACUACCACUGAGAUUGUCUGCAUAUUUAAUUUAUACAUGUUAGAGUCACGUACAAUUGUUAAAGGAUAGCAAAAAUGUCAAACUUUUACUGCAUUUCAAAAGCCAAAUCUUAACCUUAUUAUUAAAAACUGAACUGAGAGAAUAUGUGUUGUAUGUUUUGAGUUUUUUACAUUUAUAUUUUAUGUUAAAAAAUAUCUUUUUGUGGCUUGGGGAAUUAAACCCAAGGCCUCACAUGUGCUUAGGCAAGCACUGCAUUGUUGAGCCACACUCCAUCUCCUCGUCCCUAACUUUCUUUUAUUUUUAAGAUUUAUUUAAUUUAUAUAUAUGAGUAUUUUGGCUACAUGUAUUUCUGUACACCAUGUGCAUGCCUGAUACCCACAUAGGUCAACAAAGGAGGGCAUUGGAUCCCCUGAAACUGGAGUUAUAGAUGGUUCUGAACCAUCCUGUGGAUUCUGUGAAUCAAACCCAGCCAGGUCGUCUCGAAGAACAAUUGCUCUUAACCACUAAGCCAUCUCUCCAGUGCCAGAGACCCUAACUUUAAACAAGCACCACAUCUGGAUGUUUUCAGCUGAGCAAGAACAGCAAGCCUCCUGUAAUUUAUAGUUCUGUUUUAUUCAGAAUUUUAGGAAAUCUUUGGCAUCUAUACGACGGCCACAUAAACAUGCCAUAUGCAGACACUCUCAUAUCUUUUAUUUGUAAAGGACUAAUUUUCAUAAUUGUAUUUAAUCUGAAAUAUCAACUUUUUUUUUACCAUAAAAGAAACAGCAAAAGGUUCUGUUUCAACUAGAGCAUACAUUUGAGUAUUACUUCAAUACAAAUAUGACAGAUGUCAUAAUACACAAAAAGAGGCCAUGUGAAGUGUGACAGUUGCAAACAUUUAAGACUGUGUAACAGAAGUGACUGAGAAUCAUACGAGUUUACUGUCCUUCAACUAUUUCCUUGACAGUGGAGUCAAAUAAUGUUGAAUUAUAGACUCCUUACAGGAAGUCUUAUUUCAUGUUCAUUUUUUUUUUAAUUUUUCUCUGUUAGGCCCUGUAGGACUUUGGCUGCAUGCCCACUUUCCUUUAGAAGUUUUUGUAUACAUCCUUGGGUUGUGUUUGAUGAUUAAAUGAUUAUUUAUUAAAACCUUUAGGGUUGGUGGUGUAGUUCAGUGGUAGAGCACUGAUUUAGGUAGGGUCCAAUCCCCGGAAAGGCACACACAAACACACGUCUAUACUCUACAGCUUCACACUUUUGACAUGUUUACUUUCCAUAAGAGAAUAUUGCUUUUGCAAUGGAAACCGUAAUGUUGCCAAUAUGAAAAAAAUGUUUCAUCCGAAUCUAUGUUGAAAAUAUUUUCUUAAUGGUGAGAGCCUUAAUAAAAUCUGUUAUCAUUCUUUGCAGUUUCUCCAAAUGUACUUUGAACAUCGAGGGAGGCUAAGCUGACUGUAUACUGCUUAGUAGACCCCAGGCUAAUACUUCAAUCUAUCUGCUUGGCCUUAAUAACCAUUUUGCAGCUACAGAUCCACAAGCAGUCUCAUUUUUUGAGUCUGAAGUUUCCAUGUGUAUUUUCCCUCCCAUUGCCCAGUAACAGCUGUGUUUUACAUCUUUUGGGCUAUGCCAAGCAUUUUAAGAUAUGAAUAUAUAAGUGUCUGAAAACAAAGUGAUUCAAAAUUUAUUGUCAGAGUUGGACAGUUUUAGCAUAUUGGCUGCCUUUUGGAAAGGAGAACCCACAUUUCCAUCCUUUAUUUCCUGCCCCCCUUCUCUUCCUUUAGUAUUAGUCCAAUAGUCAUAGUGGGCACACUACUCUAUGUACUACUGAAUGGUGAGCAAUGGAGCCAUUCCAACGGAGAAGAAUGGCUGUUUGAGUGACCUAUUGCCUCAGAGCUAGUUAAACCAGAAACAAUAGUUACAGUUUGCUUUGUACAAAGUAGCAUUGGGAUUGCUGCUUUCUAUUAACCAUAGAACUUGCACUGGGGACUUCUACUGGGAGGAGAGGGAAUUGGGGGGGGGAGCUAAGGAAAUGAAGAAGAGAGGAGAAAGAGGGGAACUGGAAAGGCCCUAGGAGUAGUAGUCUGUGUACUAUUGGCAUUUAAACCUGGCUGACAUUUAACGUUGUAAUUAAUCCAGGCUAUUUGCAUAGACUAGAUCCUAUACCCUUUUUUCUUAUUGUUUUUCUUAAAUGUUUUAAAUACCUCUAUUAAGAAUCAAUCUAUCUCUACUCACAAAUCCAUACAUAAAUAUAAAAGCCAAGCAGAAAAUAACAAUAAAAACAUACCUGCUAAAUAAGUAACUUUUAAUUCAAAGCAACAGAGGAUCUGGAAUGUGCAUCCCAAUUAGCCCGUGUAGUGACAAGCAGUCAACACCUUAUUAUUUAAUCAUUAAAGAGAAUCUUGCCAUAAUUCUCCUCUGACAUAUUUCAAAAAAUGAAUUAAAGAUACAUCAUGUGACCCACAACAACAAUCUACAGUAAAGUUAGAUAAUGCUAACACUCCAUAUUCUACAAAGAUUGUGCACUGAGAGGCUCAGGAAUAAGUUCUUAAAUAAGAUCCUAUGAAGGAUUUACAGAUUUUUUUUAAAAGUGUAUUAAAUGUAAGCAUUCAGAAACAAGCUACCUAAGGGCCUGUUUGCCUACCCACUGCUGGUUGUAUCCAGUUUUUGAGUAGAUGAAAACACAAUUGUUUCUAGUAUUGGUAAACAUCUGCUGCCUCAUCAUUUUUUUUUCUAAGCUGCCGAUAUAAGCCAUGAAGGACAUUAGGUUGUCCCCGCCUUACAGGAACCUCUUCCAGGAACCUCUUCCAGCAGGAAGCUGAAAUCUCCCGAGGAUGACUUUCCUUGCUACUUCGUAAUAGGGGAGAGCUUUCAGUCAAGUCUGAUUUCGGUUUUAAAACUGUUUCACUCAAACUAUGCUUUAAAAGAGGCAUUCGGAACUUCGCAAAUAGAUAAAAACCAUCUCCAUCAAAGUUCCCAGGCCCAUUUGAGAACCCUUCGCAAUGGCUCAGACCUCUCUAGAUCUCCUGGACCUGGUGACCAGGCGCCCUGAAGCCUAGGCUGCCCAGCCCGGGGGCUGGGUGCCCGCCCUCGCCCUCAAGCUGCUUCCACCCCAGGGAGCCAGCUAGCACUUGGCUUUUAACCUGUGGUGCCAGCGGGGCUUCUGAGCUUCAUCUCAGCAAGCCACAGUACUUGGCCUCGGACGUCACGGGCCUGUCAGGAUUAACACGCAACAGGGCGCCCUGCUCAGGCCGCCAGCCCCGGCCCAGGAGCAGUUAAAUGCAGAUUCUGAGGAGGAACUCCUGGAGAGCUGCUGUUGAAUAAAACUGUAAUCCGAAGAUUUCUCCGCGUCCAGCUUCCCCGCUGGAGAGAAGCUGGGUCGCCGCUGAUGGCGGAGCACAGGCCUGGCUAAUCUCUGCUCUCUCCCCGAGACCUGGCCAGCCCCGAGGCUCUCCGCUCCUAUCUCCCUUAGUCCUUGGAGUCCAAACUGCUUAGAUUCGAGAAUAAAGAGGACCAGAUAUGCCCGGGAAGAAAGGCGACAUCCGGUAGUGCAGCCUCAAGACCAGCAUCCCCGCCAGGCACCCCCAGUUCUACCCACGACCCCUAGUCUCCAGCACCGCCUAGCCCGCGUCCUCCCAGCCAAACCUUAGCCUAGACGCCUCCCUUUCAGUACUCUACGGGUUUCAGCCUGGCCCUCUGAGACCAGCAAUUCCUGUCUAGGCUCUCUGCAACCCCUCGGGGUCGCGGGCAUCUGCGCCUAGCGAUAGCGCAGCGGUCGGGAGAGGGCGCCCAGGAGGCUGGCGGCCACUAGGCAUGGCCAGGGGACCUCCAGAUGGCCUCUAAGAGUGGAGAAGACCGUGAACCCCUAGGAAGUGGGUAAGAAUAGGAUUACAGCUUCUACUGGUGUCUUAAAUCUGAUAUGAUAUACAAUAUAUAUGAUAUUGAUACGAUAUGAUAUAUGAUACAUUUUAUGUUAGAUAGAUAGAUAGAUAGAUAGAUAGAUAGAUAGAUAGAUAGAUAGAUAGAUAGAUAGAUAGAUAGAUGUAGGUCCUACAACAUUACAUGAACAAGUGGAUUUCCCACCAGCAUAAUAGCACUCCAGGAAAUUGGCUGGCAUAAAAGUCCUUGAUCCCAGGCCUGGUGAGAAUGGCAACCUCGGUGUCUUCCGAGGGUAAGGGAGAUAAAACAAAAUAAACCGUACUGCCAGCAGGCCCUAGAGACAGCGUGGUUAAUGAGCUAACUAGGCCUUCCUGAAGUGUAAAGUCCCCUAGGGUACCUAGCUCCAGUGCCGGGUCUCUAACAGGCUGGGCCACCUUCGUUGACAGGUGGAGAAGCCACUCUUCCAUGUCUGGCUCCUGAGGAUCCACAACGGGCCUCAGCAUCCCCCUGGGACCAGCCCUAGACUUCUAAACCAACACUUGGAGACCAUGAGGUGGCUCUGGUGCCUUGACCUUCACUCCCCACCCCUUCAGGAGAAGAGAAGCCCAGCCCACCCUGCUCCCAGACAAAGCAUCUUGCUUUCACCUCCCCUAGACCCUUUCCUCCACACUAGCUAGCUCUUGUCUUUUUAGAACUGGACAAUAGAAAGAACAUACAUCCAUCGCUGUCCUCAAUCCAACCGAUCUGGGUGCACUGGCAAGCUCACCAGCCACGAGCCAACAGCUCCAUAAACCCAGACAAACAUACGAAGCCCACAUCCUAAUGGCGUGGACCGCCUGCACCAUUCUCUUUUGGAAGGGAUAGGAUGGAACCUCCAGGAGGGACUCUUGGCUCAAGUUCGUCCCUCACGGAAACACUUCAGUGUGAACCCAGUAGGCCUGAGACCAGCCCAGAGCGCUCUCUCCGGUCAGCUAGAGCUCCACUUACGCGGAACGCUGCCCGCCUGCCACUCCAAAACAGCCACAUAGCGUGGUGUUCGUGAUUUCUUUCCCGAGUGAGCUUCUGACCUCAACUUGUGGACGGUGACGGCUCACCUCCCCCUUACUCCUGGGUCUCUGAACUCAGAGGCCCAGAGCCCUGGACCGUGUCUGUGGAAUGGUUCAGCAUAUCUGGCCGAAGAAAUUGGCAACAUUUGCUACGAAUAAAACCCAAGCGGUUCCAGCAGCCAUUUUGAAUUAAGUUUCGCACCGCGACAAACCCUCGUCCCUCCGCCGCACAGGCAAGACCGGGUGCCCGGGGAAGGCGCAGGGGACACGGGGUGGGAGAGGACCAGCCUCUCUACCUUCCUCGGAGGCUCGGCCCAAAAUCCCAGGCUAAGGGGAUCUUGGUGGCAGGGGCGCAGCAAACUUGAGGAAAGGGCCUCUGUGGAUAUAGAACGGACUGUCACAGGGCUGCACCUACGGACCCUGGCCGCACAGCCCUCCAGUAGCAAGAGGUCUUUCCCGGUUCCCCGGCAGUGCCCUCCCUUCGCAGACGCUCCCCAUAAUCCCCCAAGGAAAGUUCCUUCAAAUGAUUCUACAUUCAAGCCUUCCAUCUCGCCUGGAGUGGUAAAGCGACUGGCAUCUAAAAGGCCUAGAUGUCGCUCGUCUCAGCCCAUUUAAAAAAAAAAAAAAAAAAAAGACUUUUAAUGCUCCAGGAGUCUCGAGCCUUUUUUAUUAGCUCUCACAGCCCAGCUGGGAAUUUAACAGUUUGGGGUCCUUUUCAAAGCUUCCUCAAAUGGAGUUUAAACCAUUUGCAGAGAGAAGGCUAGGUUUUAAGCAAGCCCACCGCGCAAGGGACUAGAAAAUAAAGCACAAAGAUUUCCCCCCUAACCAGAAAGCUCCGCAUUACGUAUUUUUUAAAGAGAAAAGUGUAAUAAAAGUUAUUACAAAGUUUAAAAAUAAAAGUGGGGGGAGUUUCCCCCUCAAAUCGUCAGCACACAGAGAAGCACAAGUAACUUUCAAAAGGCUUUUCUAGUGGAAGCUCUAAUAGAAUGGCCGACGGAACACAGUAAGCCCUGGCCAGAGAGCCCCCGGAAGAGCAUCCCACAAACAUUUCUUGUUAAAUCCUGCAGGUUUGCCUUUGAACACAGAUUGACAAAACACCCAGAAGUUUCUAAAUGUCUGUGUCAAUUCAGAGCGGCCCCUCUCCUUGACUUCAGUUGAACAAACUUCUUAAAGCAAGACAUGUUCCCCUUGUCUGACCUGCAGCUGUCCCUCUGACUUUAUUGUGCACCGGCAGAACCGGCAUGCGGUGGCUGAGUAAACUCCGCAAGUCAGAACAAUCAAUGGCUUAAAAGAUUUUCCCUAAACUAAGGCGCCUACCCUUAGAAACUCCCCAACGCUCGAGCUAAGUCUAGCGAGCAAGAUCUCAGAUUUGCUGACUCGAGUCUGAGAGGGGAUUCGGAAUCUUUAGACGGCCACUCCAGCACUGGGACUCCUUUGCGACCAACGUGGCGGCCAAGCCGGGCGCUGAAUCGGGAGGAGGCUCCCCCGCUAUACCCCAAACCAGUUUCCACGCACUGUGAAUUGUACCUCUAAUCUAGAGUGCUCUGACUUUCCGGUUGCAAGGGCUUGGGAAAUGGGGGAAGCAUCGCGCCUCACUCCUUAACUCCUGCCCAUUAUACCUACCCAUAAAUGGCAUCUUUAUCUCUCUUUAAAGCGUCAUUGACCGAGGAACCCAUGCUGGGGGCCAUGGCGUUGGUGUGAGCUGUGUGCGGGUACUGAUGCGAGUGCAGAGGAGGCCCGUGGUUCAGGUGGUGGACCGGUUGCAUGGACCUGGCUGCAUGCGGGUCCCCAUACAUCGUGGAGGGGAUGCCUACUCCAUCCAUACCCCCAUAAUGGGGUAGGUCGUCGUACUGCAUGACAAACAGGAGAGAAAAAAAGGGUCAGAGGCCAGGCGGGUAACCGGGAACGUUAGGGCACCGAGCUUAGAUCAGUACAACAGGAUCCUUCAACCCGAAUUCCCUGGCCUUACAUCUCUAAAGUUGAGCGUUCUGUUGUAAAAAUUAAUUUUAACAGUAAGAGCUCCAGAAUUCUCAGUGAGAGUCAUCUGAGAUGAAGGUUCCUGUCCUAACUUGUGUCCAUAUAGACCAAUUCAGAAAUCCAAAAUCUUUUGGCAAGGAAGGGAGGGAGGAAGGAAAAGGAAAGGCAGAGAGGCAUUCUCCCGGAGGCGGAAGGUAAAACAUGCAUGUUUCUGGAGGUGGAAACCGAAAAUCACAACAAUAAAACGUGCCGGAACAGUGUAGCAGACCCGCCUUGCUUCACACAGCCUUCACUUGGGGGGUGGGGUAUUUUUUAAAAGUUAUGAUGGGAAUAGUUGUGCCAAGCAGUGAAUUCUGAAAGGCUUCUUAUUUUACUUCCCUGCCAGCAUGGAAUUGGGCAGUCCUGUAAGACACUAUGUUUGCCUUGCUUUUCCAAACUGCUAAAUUAUACAAAAACGAACUGCCCCCCAUAUAUGUUAUCCCGCAGUGUGCACAAGGCAGCUUGUGUUGCCUUUUACAGCUGAACAUACACAUGGACAACGCUGUUUCCAAGCUUAAAGAAAGCUAUAAAGGAAGCAACUAAUACUCUACUUUGUUUUGUUUUUUUUUAACCUUCACAAACUUUCUCCCUAGAGUUGAAGUCAAGGAAGCAAUUGCUAUGUGUUAGUUUCUAAGCAGAUUCAAAAGCAAAAUACACAUGCAAAUCUCUGGUGUGUGUGUGGGGGGGGGGCUGCUUUCAAAUUGAUUGCCAUUACUGUCUGUGAUAAAUUCAGCUAUUUGGAUUUUUCUGAUUGUUUUAUUUCAAGCAAGUUACUUUUCUAAGAUUUGGAAAUCUUGAGAGGGAAAUGAUUUCCAAAGAGAGGGGAAUUGCCACUUUCAACCUCUUAAAGCCAGAGGUGGGAAGAGUUUGGAAGAAGGCUGACAUUUGUCUGAACCAAGAGAAUAAAGAAAAAUGUGUCCUCUAGUAACUUUCUUUUCCAAAAGGGGCUUUGAGGGCCAAGACACAAAUUAUGCAAGGCAGCCUUUUUGUAGACCCCUUUCUUUUAAGAAGCCACCUCUGCGGGGGCAUCAUUGUCUCAGUUUACUUUCAAGGCAUUUUCAUUCAAAUAGGAAUAUUGGGGAAAUUAGUAUUGCAUUUUAAAAGUGAGAGCUCUGUAUUUAGUAUCUAACUAGUACAGAACUUAGCUAAGGAAAAAAUCUACAAACUUAUUAUCUUGCAUAAAAUCCCAUGCAAAUUAAAAUUACUUUUAUAAAAGGAAUGUUUUUCCAACCAAAAAUUCACUGCACCAGGACAUUACUUAGCGGAAAAUGCUCCCCAUUUCUACUGAUACUGAAGAUGAAUAUAAUCGAUAAUGAGGCAAAAGUUCUCAGCUGUUCAUUUUCAUUAAACAUAGCUUUAAACUUUUGGUCCCUAAAUGCUUAAAUUACAGCACUGGAUAUGAAGCAUCUUCCCCCUUGUCUUUUUUAUCUUUUAAAACAGGUGAUUCCUUGAGCUUGUAUUUUUAUUUAUAUAGCUGUUGGCUAGGAAUCUAUAGACAACUUGAUCACUUGAAUUAACCACAAGAAACAUGCAUAAGGCUGCAAACGCAUUAAGUAAAACUGUCGAUUUAGGCCGCGGCUUUAGGAUCCUCAUUCAAAAAGAGAGAAAGAAAAGAGGAAACUUAGUAGCAGUGUCUUUCAGCCACGUUUCAAUUUAAUCUCACAUUUGACUUCCACAAUUGCUUUUAAUACGUACCCUUUGCGCCAUCGGCCUCUCUGGCUCCCUUCCUACUUCAACUUCUAAUAUAUCCUCUUUAAGGCCAGUGUGAAAAGAAACAAAUAUGCAAACUCCCCCGGAAAAAAAAA
Mus musculus (house mouse) is the source of this 23649-nucleotide long non-coding RNA. RefSeq annotates it as predicted gene 16141. The transcript has 3 exons. Lineage: Eukaryota; Metazoa; Chordata; Mammalia; Rodentia; Muridae. The record is from RefSeq and is a predicted model, not a curated record.